AGACAUGGGAGGGCAGGGGCAAGAACGGCAGCCUCUCCCUAGCUCACAUCUCACCAGGGUUGGCUAAGCAGUCCUCCCCUUGCCCCACGAGUGGCAGGACAGCUCCCAACACUUCUCUAGGCUUAAAGUACAUGUGGAAGGGCGAGCCUCCCAGGAUUCUCAAACAGAAGCAGCCUGCCAGGCUGAGCCAUCCAGAAGACCCCCUCCCUCUUCCCUGAGCUCUGUUUCUUCCAUGAGGUUGAAGAAAAAUGCCGUCGUGGUCCCCUGCCUGCUUACUCAGCGUGUCAAGCAGGAGUUCUCAGCUCCAGUGUGCCAUGGAGGGCCUUGGGAAGAGGUCACAUACCAUUCCCAUCCCCAGGUCAGGCUAGACUCCAGGCCAGGUUCCUCCACUGCCCUUGUGUUGACUACAGGAGAAACUUGAGCCAACACCUGACCUUGGGCUAGCUCCCUCCUCACAUCUGCUUUGGAGAUUCCAGUCUCCUCCUGCCCAGGCCUGUCUCUUAGCAGGGCCAGCAGGAUGGGCUGGGGAAUUCCUGCACCCCAACAGCUGCGUCCCCAGCUCAGUACCUGGACAACAUGAAUCCACCCCCAUCGUCAAUAAGCGUCUUUCAGAGCUGCCAGCUCCCUCUGGGGAAAGCCCUUUCCACUCGUUCUUUGAGGCCCAAAGCUGAUUCUGGUCUAAUUAUAACUGUAUUCCCAGCAGGUGUGACACAAAGCAGGUGCAUAAUAAAGAUUCCUGGAUGGAUGACUCAA
Homo sapiens (human) is the source of this 753-nucleotide long non-coding RNA. Ensembl annotates it as long intergenic non-protein coding RNA 1298. NCBI's taxonomy places the organism in Eukaryota, Metazoa, Chordata, Mammalia, Primates, Hominidae. The record is from Ensembl.